UCUCCCUUUCUCUUUUCGUUUUCUUUUUCUUUUUUUUAAUCUUUCUUUUAUUUUUGGAGAGAGAAAAAGUUAUUGAGGAGAGAGGUAUCGUUGUAUAUCUUUUUCUUCUUUUUUCUAGUUCCUUUUACUCUAUUCUUUUUGAAGCAUGUGAGAGGGUGUUAGUGGUAUUGUCAUGAAUGCUAGCUGUCACCAGUAAAGAAGAUAAGACCCCUUUUUUCUUUAUUACCAUUGGAGCCUAUCCAUUCAAGAGAGAGAGAUAUUUUUCUAAUUUUAUUUAUAUUCAGAUU
RNAcentral lists this long non-coding RNA (287 nucleotides) under Lathyrus oleraceus (garden pea). RNAcentral describes it as "Pisum sativum (pea) long non-coding RNA (PSAT_LNC020494)". The record is from RNAcentral. Lineage: Eukaryota; Viridiplantae; Streptophyta; Magnoliopsida; Fabales; Fabaceae.